GAUUGUUCACCCACCAAUAGGGAACGUGAGCUGGGUUUAAACUGCCAUGAGACAAGUUAGUUUUACCCUACUGAUGACAGUGUCGCAAUAGUAAUUCAACCUAGUAGGAGAGGAACCAUUGAUUCGCACAACUGGUCAUUGCGUUUGGUUGAAAAUUCAGUGGCGUGAAGCUACCAUGCACUAGAUUAUGACUGAACACCUCUAAGUCAGAAUCCGGGCUAGAAGGGACGCAUGCGCCCGUCGCCCGCUUGUCGAUCCGCAGUAGGGGCUGUUCGGCCACCAAAGGCACGUUUCGUUGGUGAAGCCCACGCGGUGGAUGAGCCUUGCGGGCCACCUUGAAGUACAAUUCCUAUCACGAGUGGCAAGUACAAUUCCUAUCACGAGUGGCAAGUAGAAUCCUAAAUAUGUGACAGGGUAUUGUAAGUGGCAGAGUGGCCUUAUUGCCAUGAUCCACUGAGAUUCACCCUUGCGUCGCUCCGAUUCGUCCCUCCC
This 492-nucleotide ribosomal RNA is filed under the name Camellia saluenensis. RNAcentral's name for it is "eukaryotic LSU rRNA". It matches the Rfam family "Eukaryotic large subunit ribosomal RNA", at positions 2927 to 3401 of the family's 3401-position model. The record is from RNAcentral. Lineage: Eukaryota; Viridiplantae; Streptophyta; Magnoliopsida; Ericales; Theaceae.